This 133-nucleotide ribosomal RNA is filed under the name Escherichia coli. RNAcentral describes it as "partial 16S ribosomal RNA". It matches the Rfam family "Bacterial small subunit ribosomal RNA", at positions 1413 to 1533 of the family's 1533-position model. The record is from RNAcentral. Lineage: Bacteria; Pseudomonadati; Pseudomonadota; Gammaproteobacteria; Enterobacterales; Enterobacteriaceae. RNAcentral also lists the same sequence under 3 other names.
GGUUGCAAAAGAAGUAGGUAGCUUAACCUUCGGGAGGGCGCUUACCACUUUGUGAUUCAUGACUGGGGUGAAGUCGUAACAAGGUAACCGUAGGGGAACCUGCGGUUGGAUCACCUCCUUACCUUAAAGAAGC